UACGUAGGGGGCAAGCGUUGUUCGGAAUUACUGGGCGUAAAGGGCGCGUAGGCGGCACGGCAAGUCGGGAGUGAAAGCCCGGGGCUCAACCCCGGAACUGCUCACGAAACUGCCGAGCUAGAGUGCGGAAGAGGCAACUGGAAUUCCGGGUGUAGCGGUGAAAUGCGUAGAUAUCCGGACGAACACCGGUGGCGAAGGCGGCUUCCUGGACCGACACUGACGCUGAGGCGCGAAAGCUAGGGGAGCAAACGGG
This 253-nucleotide ribosomal RNA is filed under the name uncultured bacterium. RNAcentral describes it as "partial 16S ribosomal RNA". It matches the Rfam family "Bacterial small subunit ribosomal RNA", at positions 524 to 776 of the family's 1533-position model. The record is from RNAcentral.